UACGGAGGGUGCAAGCGUUAAUCGGAAUUACUGGGCGUAAAGCGUGCGCAGGCGGUUUGUAAGUUUGUCGUGAAAUCCUCGGGCUCAACCUGGGAAUGGCGAUGAAGACUGCAAGGCUAGAAUCUGGCAGAGGGGGGUAGAAUUCCACGUGUAGCAGUGAAAUGCGUAGAGAUGUGGAGGAACACCGAUGGCGAAGGCAGCCCCCUGGACCUGUACUGACGCUCAUGCACGAAAGCGUGGGGAGCAACAGG
This 251-nucleotide ribosomal RNA is filed under the name uncultured bacterium. RNAcentral describes it as "partial 16S ribosomal RNA". It matches the Rfam family "Bacterial small subunit ribosomal RNA", at positions 524 to 775 of the family's 1533-position model. The record is from RNAcentral.